AUUGAACGCUGGCGGCAUGCUUUACACAUGCAAGUCGAACGGUAACAGGCCGCAAGGUGCUGACGAGUGGCGCACGGGUGAGUAAUGCAUCGGAACGUGCCCAGUCGUGGGGGAUAACUCCUCUAAAGAGUAGCUAAUACCGCAUACGAUCUAUGGAUGAAAGCGGGGGACCGUAAGGCCUCGCGCGAUUGGAGCGGCCGAUGUCAGAUUAGGUAGUUGGUGGGGUAAAGGCUCACCAAGCCAACGAUCUGUAGCUGGUCUGAGAGGACGACCAGCCACACUGGGACUGAGACACGGCCCAGACUCCUACGGGAGGCAGCAGUGGGGAAUUUUGGACAAUGGGCGCAAGCCUGAUCCAGCAAUGCCGCGUGCAGGAAGAAGGCCUUCGGGUUGUAAACUGCUUUUGUACGGAACGAAACGGCUCUGGUUAAUACCCGGGGCUAAUGACGGUACCGUAAGAAUAAGCACCGGCUAACUACGUG
This 482-nucleotide ribosomal RNA is filed under the name uncultured bacterium. Its description in RNAcentral is "partial 16S ribosomal RNA". It matches the Rfam family "Bacterial small subunit ribosomal RNA", at positions 30 to 507 of the family's 1533-position model. The record is from RNAcentral.